GACGAACGCUGGCGGCGUGCCUAAUACAUGCAAGUCGAGCGAACUUGCGGGAGCUUGCUCCCAAAAGUUAGCGGCGGACGGGUGAGUAACACGUGGGCAACCUGCCUGUAAGACUGGGAUAACUUCGGGAAACCGGAGCUAAUACCGGAUAAUUCUUUUCUGCUCAUGCAGGAAAGCUGAAAGAUGGUUUCGGCUAUCACUUACAGAUGGGCCCGCGGCGCAUUAGCUAGUUGGUGAGGUAACGGCUCACCAAGGCAACGAUGCGUAGCCGACCUGAGAGGGUGAUCGGCCACACUGGGACUGAGACACGGCCCAGACUCCUACGGGAGGCAGCAGUAGGGAAUCUUCCGCAAUGGACGAAAGUCUGACGGAGCAACGCCGCGUGAGUGAUGAAGGUUUUCGGAUCGUAAAACUCUGUUGUUAGGGAAGAACAAGUAUCGGAGUAACUGCCGGUACCUUGACGGUACCUAACCAGAAAGCCACGGCUAACUACGUGCCAGCCGCCGCGGUAAAAC
Molecule: ribosomal RNA, 515 nt
Filed under: uncultured bacterium
Lineage: Bacteria
Description: bacterial SSU rRNA
Rfam family: Bacterial small subunit ribosomal RNA
Source: RNAcentral